UAGAUACCCUAUUAUACUAGAUGUUAAUUUUUUUAACUUGGGUAGUAAUAGUUAUGUUCUUGAAACCCAAAGAAUUUGGCGGUAUUUUAGUCUUUUCAGAGGAACCUGUUGUUUAAUCGAUAGUCCACGAUUUUAUUCACUUUCAUUUGUUUGCAGUUUUUAUACCUCCGUCAUAAGAAUAUUUUUUUAGAAUAAAUUUUCUUAAUUGUUAAAUACAUGUAUGUCAGGUCAAGGUGAAGCUUAUAUGUAAGUAUUUAAUGGGUUACAAUAAUUUUAUUUAUAUGGAUUUUUAAAUUUAUAUUUAAAUUGAAAGUGGAUUUGUAAGUAAAGAAUAUUAAUUUAUUUUCUUGACUUUAGCUCUAAAAUAUGC
This 370-nucleotide ribosomal RNA is filed under the name Nesobasis sp. 9 JHS-2009. RNAcentral's name for it is "partial 12S ribosomal RNA". The record is from RNAcentral. Lineage: Eukaryota; Metazoa; Arthropoda; Insecta; Odonata; Coenagrionidae.